GCAGUCGACGAACUUCCGUUAAUUGAUUAUGACGUACUUGUACUGAUUGAGAUUUUAACACGAAGUGAGUGGCGAACGGGUGAGUAACACGUGGGUAACCUGCCCAGAAGUAGGGGAUAACACCUGGAAACAGAUGCUAAUACCGUAUAACAGAGAAAACCGCAUGGUUUUCUUUUAAAAGAUGGCUCUGCUAUCACUUCUGGAUGGACCCGCGGCGUAUUAGCUAGUUGGUGAGGUAAAGGCUCACCAAGGCAGUGAUACGUAGCCGACCUGAGAGGGUAAUCGGCCACAUUGGGACUGAGACACGGCCCAGACUCCUACGGGAGGCAGCAGUAGGGAAUCUUCCACAAUGGACGCAAGUCUGAUGGAGCAACGCCGCGUGAGUGAAGAAGGGUUUCGGCUCGUAAAGCUCUGUUGUUAAAGAAGAACGUGGGUAAGAGUAACUGUUUACCCAGUGACGGUAUUUAACCAGAAAGCCACGGCUAACUACGUGCCAGCAGCCGCGGUAAUACGUAGGUGGCAAGCGUUAUCCGGAUUUAUUGGGCGUAAAGCGAGCGCAGGCGGUCUUUUAAGUCUAAUGUGAAAGCCUUCGGCUCAACCGAAGAAGUGCAUUGGAAACUGGGAGACUUGAGUGCAGAAGAGGACAGUGGAACUCCAUGUGUAGCGGUGAAAUGCGUAGAUAUAUGGAAGAACACCAGUGGCGAAGGCGGCUGUCUGGUCUGCAACUGACGCUGAGGCUCGAAAGCAUGGGUAGCGAACAGGAUUAGAUACCCUGGUAGUCCAUGCCGUAAACGAUGAUUACUAAGUGUUGGAGGGUUUCCGCCCUUCAGUGCUGCAGCUAACGCAUUAAGUAAUCCGCCUGGGGAGUACGACCGCAAGGUUGAAACUCAAAAGAAUUGACGGGGGCCCGCACAAGCGGUGGAGCAUGUGGUUUAAUUCGAAGCUACGCGAAGAACCUUACCAGGUCUUGACAUCUUCUGACAGUCUAAGAGAUUAGAGGUUCCCUUCGGGGACAGAAUGACAGGUGGUGCAUGGUUGUCGUCAGCUCGUGUCGUGAGAUGUUGGGUUAAGUCCCGCAACGAGCGCAACCCUUAUUACUAGUUGCCAGCAUUAAGUUGGGCACUCUAGUGAGACUGCCGGUGACAAACCGGAGGAAGGUGGGGACGACGUCAAAUCAUCAUGCCCCUUAUGACCUGGGCUACACACGUGCUACAAUGGAUGGUACAACGAGUCGCGAGACCGCGAGGUUAAGCUAAUCUCUUAAAACCAUUCUCAGUUCGGACUGUAGGCUGCAACUCGCCUACACGAAGUCGGAAUCGCUAGUAAUCGCGGAUCAGCAUGCCGCGGUGAAUACGUUCCCGGGCCUUGUACACACCGCCCGUCACACCAUGAGAGUUUGUAACACCCAAAGCCGGUGG
RNAcentral lists this ribosomal RNA (1418 nucleotides) under Pediococcus pentosaceus. RNAcentral describes it as "bacterial SSU rRNA". It matches the Rfam family "Bacterial small subunit ribosomal RNA", at positions 57 to 1433 of the family's 1533-position model. The record is from RNAcentral. Lineage: Bacteria; Bacillati; Bacillota; Bacilli; Lactobacillales; Lactobacillaceae.